Molecule: unclassified non-coding RNA, 663 nt
Filed under: Hevea brasiliensis (rubber tree)
Lineage: Eukaryota; Viridiplantae; Streptophyta; Magnoliopsida; Malpighiales; Euphorbiaceae
Source: RNAcentral
GCCAUUUUGGGACUUAGUUUUAUAAGUAGUUUUAUCUUGUAAAUUGUUAUUUUUGUCUUAAGGGCGUAAUCAAUGUUUUUUGCUUGCCUGGUGCCUUUUCUUUUAGUUGGAGAAUAUGUGCGAACAAGUUCUUUUUGAGAGUUCCGCAUGUGAGUAGGGAGUGAAAUUUGUGACAGGAGGCUUCAUUUCUUUAGAUUUUGGAAGCUAUUGAAGUCUUGACUGCUCGAAAGCGUUUUUGUCAUUCAGUUUACUUUUGGAUAUGCUUCAGAUAAUUAUGAGUGCAUUUAUAAACAUUAUUGGGGUUUGGGAAGCAUCCAGAGGACUUCCAGAGAGUAGAUAUAUCAUGUAGGUGUUCAAGUCAGUUAUUGAAUUAUAGGGAUGGAGAUUCAAGCUGCAGACUUGAAAUCGAUUUAUUAUAUUGUAGAAUGUAAAGACAAAUCAGUAUGAAUUCUUCGAAUUCUGAUUGUUUUUUAGACAUAUCAUUGGCAUGAGGUGGUUUCACCAGCUUAUUUGUUCCUAUACAUAUUUUAGCUUGUUUAUUAAGUCUCCACCCACGCUGAAAGAGAAUCUGUUGGCUAUGUUUCUUGGUUAUGUAAAUAGUAAGUUAUUGACUAUUUAUGUGUUAGAAAUUGCAUCUUGAACAUAAACAAAUGUCUGCUGUGA